RNAcentral lists this unclassified non-coding RNA (162 nucleotides) under uncultured Helotiales. RNAcentral describes it as "sequence contains ITS1". The record is from RNAcentral. Lineage: Eukaryota; Fungi; Ascomycota; Leotiomycetes; Helotiales.
AUGAGAACUUGCCCUUCGGGGUAGAUCUCCCACCCUUUGUGAACCAUUCCUUUGUUGCUUUGGCAGGCCCGUCCCCGGACCGCCGGCUUCGGCUGGCCAGCGCCUGCCAGAGGAUUUUCAAAACCUUCUGUUAGUGUUGUCUGAGUAUAAAUCAAAUCGUUA